ACAAAUUCGGACGAAGAGCUUUGU
This 24-nucleotide small RNA is filed under the name Arabidopsis thaliana (thale cress). RNAcentral's name for it is "ATSL255110". The record is from RNAcentral. Lineage: Eukaryota; Viridiplantae; Streptophyta; Magnoliopsida; Brassicales; Brassicaceae.